AACGAACGCUGGCGGCAUGCCUAACACAUGCAAGUCGAACGAAGGCUUCGGCCUUAGUGGCGCACGGGUGCGUAACGCGUGGGAAUCUGCCCUUGGGUUCGGAAUAACUCAGAGAAAUUUGAGCUAAUACCGGAUGAUGACGUAAGUCCAAAGAUUUAUCGCCCAAGGAUGAGCCCGCGUAAGAUUAGCUAGUUGGUGGGGUAAAGGCCUACCAAGGCGACGAUCUUUAGCUGGUCUGAGAGGAUGAUCAGCCACACUGGGACUGAGACACGGCCCAGACUCCUACGGGAGGCAGCAGUGGGGAAUAUUGGACAAUGGGCGAAAGCCUGAUCCAGCAAUGCCGCGUGAGUGAUGAAGGCCUUAGGGUUGUAAAGCUCUUUCAGCUGGAGUGAAACGGUGCGCUCUAACAUAGCGUGCUAAUGACGGUACCAGCAGAAGAAGCACCGGCUAACUACGUGCCAGCAGCCGCGG
Molecule: ribosomal RNA, 471 nt
Filed under: uncultured bacterium
Lineage: Bacteria
Description: bacterial SSU rRNA
Rfam family: Bacterial small subunit ribosomal RNA
Source: RNAcentral